This is a non-coding RNA of Podarcis lilfordi (Lilford's wall lizard), 82 nucleotides long. The record is from the annotation of a GenBank genome assembly. NCBI's taxonomy places the organism in Eukaryota, Metazoa, Chordata, Lepidosauria, Squamata, Lacertidae.
GCCUGGAUAGUUUAGUUGGUUAGAGCGUGGUGCUGAUUAUGCCAAGGUUGCAGGUUCAAUCCCUGCGUAGUCCUGCAUUGCA